UUAGCUAAGUUGUUGAUGUUGCUUGUGAAGUCUGUGGACUCUUAAUCCGUAGGUCGAGUGUUCGAGUCACUCAGGGCCCACCA
RNAcentral lists this transfer RNA (83 nucleotides) under Variovorax paradoxus. RNAcentral's name for it is "tRNA-Lys". Lineage: Bacteria; Pseudomonadati; Pseudomonadota; Betaproteobacteria; Burkholderiales; Comamonadaceae. The record is from RNAcentral.